This 451-nucleotide ribosomal RNA is filed under the name uncultured Chloroflexota bacterium. Its description in RNAcentral is "bacterial SSU rRNA". It matches the Rfam family "Bacterial small subunit ribosomal RNA", at positions 920 to 1382 of the family's 1533-position model. The record is from RNAcentral. Lineage: Bacteria; Bacillati; Chloroflexota.
CCCGCACAAGCAGCGGAGCGUGUGGUUUAAUUCGAUGCAACACGAAGAACCUUACCAGGGCUUGACAUGUUAGAAGUAGGAACCCGAAAGGGGGACGACCAGUAUCCAAUCUGGAGCUAACACAGGUGCUGCAUGGCUGUCGUCAGCUCGUGCCGUGAGGUGUAUGGUUAAGUCCCACAACGAGCGCAACCCUCGUCGCUAGUUAAUUUCCCUAGCGAGACCGCCUCGCAAAACGAGGAGGAAGGCGGGAUGGCGUCAAGUCAGCAUGGCCUUUAUACCCUGGGCGACACACACGCUACAAUGGGUGGUACAGCAGGUUGCGAAAGAGCGAUCUGGAGCUAAUCCCUAAAAUCAUCCUCAGUUCGGAUUGCAGGCUGAAACUGCCUGCAUGAAGUUGGAGUUGCUAGUAACCGCAGGUCAGCACACUGCGGUGAAUACGUUCUCGGGCCUU